Molecule: transfer-messenger RNA, 377 nt
Filed under: Burkholderiales
Lineage: Bacteria; Pseudomonadati; Pseudomonadota; Betaproteobacteria
Also listed under: 1 other name
Description: Lampropedia populi Standard tmRNA
Rfam family: transfer-messenger RNA
About the family: Bacterial tmRNA, also known as 10Sa RNA or SsrA, is named for its dual tRNA and mRNA-like properties. Its role is to liberate the mRNA from a stalled ribosome. To accomplish this part of the tmRNA is used as a reading frame that ends in a translation stop signal.
Source: RNAcentral
GGGGCUGUCCUGGUUUCGACGUGGGUACGGAUCUGGAGUGGCGCAUGCCGAGCUUGAAUCACGCUCGUAAAUCUCGGUUCGAAAAACUAACUGCAAACGACGAUCGUUUCGCACUCGCCGCUUAAACCCGGUGAGACUUGCAACAGCACGCUAAUGGGCUGGGCAACAAGGCCGCAAGGUCAUGAAGCUGCAAGUUAAUUCACAUUAGCUGGUUGGCUGUCGGGCAUCUUGACCGCCAAUGAGAUCCAAGGGUGCUGGCCUUCGAUGCAGCGUGUGGCUGCGCGGCAUCAAGGGCGAGAUCAAAACAGACCACUAAGCAUGUAGAACUGCCUGGCAAAGGCUUGCGGACGCGGGUUCAACUCCCGCCAGCUCCACCA